CGAAAGAGAACCUGCACACAGGUGCUGCAUGGCUGUCGUCAGCUCGUGUCGUGAGAUUGUUGGGUUAAGUCCCGCAACGAGCGCAACCCUUGCCAUUAGUUGCUACGGAAGGGCACUCUAAUGGGACUGCCGGUGACAAACCGGAGGAAGGUGGGGAUGACGUCAAGUCCUCAUGGCCCUUAUAGGUGGGGCUACACACGUCAUACAAUGGCCGGUACAGAGGGUAGCCAACCCGCGAGGGGGAGCCAAUCCCACAAAGCCGGUCGUAGUCCGGAUCGCAGUCCGCAACUCGACUGCGUGAAGUCGGAAUCGCUAGUAAUCGCGGAUCAGCAUGUCGCGGUGAAUACGUUCCCGGGUCUU
Molecule: ribosomal RNA, 360 nt
Filed under: uncultured Allobrachymonas sp.
Lineage: Bacteria; Pseudomonadati; Pseudomonadota; Betaproteobacteria; Burkholderiales; Comamonadaceae
Description: bacterial SSU rRNA
Rfam family: Bacterial small subunit ribosomal RNA
Source: RNAcentral